RNAcentral lists this ribosomal RNA (466 nucleotides) under uncultured bacterium. RNAcentral describes it as "partial 16S ribosomal RNA". It matches the Rfam family "Bacterial small subunit ribosomal RNA", at positions 30 to 507 of the family's 1533-position model. The record is from RNAcentral.
CGAACGCUGGCGGCGUGCUUAACACAUGCAAGUCGAACGGAAAGGCCCUGCUUUUGUGGGGUGCUCGAGUGGCGAACGGGUGAGUAACACGUGAGUAACCUGCCCUUGACUUUGGGAUAACUUCAGGAAACUGGGGCUAAUACCGGAUAGGAGCUCCUGCUGCAUGGUGGGGGUUGGAAAGUUUCGGCGGUUGGGGAUGGACUCGCGGCUUAUCAGCUUGUUGGUGGGGUAGUGGCUUACCAAGGCUUUGACGGGUAGCCGGCCUGAGAGGGAGACCGGCCACAUUGGGACUGAGAUACGGCCCAGACUCCUACGGGAGGCAGCAGUGGGGAAUAUUGCACAAUGGGCGGAAGCCUGAUGCAGCAACGCCGCGUGCGGGAUGACGGCCUUCGGGUUGUAAACCGCUUUCGCCUGUGACGAAGCGUGAGUGACGGUAAUGGGUAAAGAAGCACCGGCUAACUACGUG